This 500-nucleotide ribosomal RNA is filed under the name uncultured Pseudomonadota bacterium. RNAcentral's name for it is "bacterial SSU rRNA". It matches the Rfam family "Bacterial small subunit ribosomal RNA", at positions 355 to 845 of the family's 1533-position model. Lineage: Bacteria; Pseudomonadati; Pseudomonadota. The record is from RNAcentral.
UGGGGAAUCUUGCGCAAUGGGCGAAAGCCUGACGCAGCGACGCCGCGUGAGUGAUGAAGGCCUUCGGGUUGUAAAGCUCUGUGGAGGGGGACGAAUAAGGUUUGGCUAAUAUCCAAGCUGAUGACGGUACCCUUUUAGCAAGCACCGGCUAACUCUGUGCCAGCAGCCGCGGUAAGACAGAGGGUGCAAACGUUGUUCGGAAUUACUGGGCGUAAAGCGCGUGUAGGCGGCCCGAAAAGUCGGAUGUGAAAGCCCUGGGCUUAACCUAGGAAGUGCAUUCGAAACUGUCGUGGCUUGAGUUCUGGAGAGGAAGGCGGAAUUCUCGGUGUAGAGGUGAAAUUCGUAGAUAUCGAGAGGAACACCGGUGGCGAAGGCGGCCUUCUGGACAGUGACUGACGCUGAGACGCGAAAGCGUGGGGAGCAAACAGGAUUAGAUACCCUGGUAGUCCACGCCGUAAACGAUGAGUGCUAGGUGUCGCGGGCUUUGACCCCUGCGGUCG